Solanum pennellii is the source of this 630-nucleotide long non-coding RNA. RefSeq lists it as uncharacterized. The record is from RefSeq and is a predicted model, not a curated record. Lineage: Eukaryota; Viridiplantae; Streptophyta; Magnoliopsida; Solanales; Solanaceae. The transcript is spliced from 2 exons.
UAUAACUCUUCUUUACCUUUCGCAAUGCAAGCUUAUCCAUUUGUUUGUGAUCUUGUAGGAUUUUAUCCAAGUAGAAUUUCUGUGGUGUUUAUAGGAACAGUCAGCAAACUAUGAACACAUACUGAAGGGAAAAUAUGCGUCAUCAGCUACAGAAAAGUGAUAUUACUAAGACAGAGAAUUGACCAGAGUCUGUUUGGUGUCUAAUUAAUGAGCUUAAUUUGAUUAGUUGCCUCAGUGGCAUAGUUCUUUCUUUUUUCAGUAUCUAUCUGUAAGUCAGUUACCAGAUAAAAAAUCUGAGAAGAUCUGAAGGCAUUUAUUCUAGUUGAUAAGGAUCUGAAUCAACGGGUGUUGGAAAUCAACUGGAUUGAACUGCUUUGAAAUGUAGUUAGAGUUGGCAAAGGUCUUCCGUGAUGGCAAGACCAUCAUCUUUCCUAGUUUGGGAGUAAUUCGUUGAACAACUGAUGAAAGACUCAUGUAUGGAGUAAAGACAUCUCCAUGGAAAUCAUGAGAUUUUUCUGCUUCAUUAUUUUCUAACUGGCUGUGUGAUUUAAUCUUUCUGUUCGCAUGUUUCCAUAGUAGUGUGUUGCUUAAUUGUGAGAAGAAAUGAAUCCACCAUUCUCCUGUAGUGAA